RNAcentral lists this long non-coding RNA (850 nucleotides) under Zea mays. RNAcentral describes it as "long non-coding RNA (ZMAY_LNC002565)". Lineage: Eukaryota; Viridiplantae; Streptophyta; Magnoliopsida; Poales; Poaceae. The record is from RNAcentral.
AUAUAAAACGUGUACAGAUAAAAACUGUUUGGGAGCUGCAACAGAAAGAUGGUGACAUCCGUAUCCAUUGCAUGAAAACAAAACAAGCGUCGGCCUAGCUUAUCUGACGCUUGUUCCCAAACGCUGUACACGUAGCAGGAAAAUAUGGCAAGAGACAAAAACACCCUGCCAGGCUUAAGCAUCUCAAGACAGUAUUGCACCAGUACGAUUUAAGGAAUCGACGAGGUUUGCCAUGUCUACUACUAUGCUUGAACUACCUGAGAUUUAUAUUUUACUCAAAUAUAUGGUGUAUACCUGCACGAAAACACAAAGAACCUUGUUGGAAAAAAAGAGGAUGGACCACUACAAUGUUCCUUGCAUUCUCAAAUCAGUCAACAAGUUCGGCUGCAACAACGACAUUAGCCAUGCAUAGUCAUCAUCGGUGAACAACUGCUAAGACAUGACUGGAACUUAAGGACAAUUGAUCAGUGAUCCAGUAGCGCUAGCAAUCUAAGAGGAUCGAAUUAGGCAUGGAUCACAUGCCUCAAGAUAGCCACAUCAAACAUGCAAUGCAAAGACAUAUGAGAAGCAGCAAUUCCUAAGGAAUGAUUCCAAUCACAUAAAGCAGGAAUUAACCAAAUUCUGGAAGAAGUAAAGAUGAAAAGAAGGAAUCUAGGAGAUGAAAGAGAGAUUAUUACAGGUCGCGCCCUUGCAAUCACACCUAAUUUAGGCUGACCCGGCCCCUCCUUGUCCAGUCCAAAUCCAUCCAUGAUCAGAUUUAAUUCAGAGAAACCCUUUCCCAGAGAAUUGAAAUAACAGAAACGCACAAAACUUGCUGUUGCUUUCUUCCCUUGCCGAUGGCAGCCGCCGC